GGGGAAUUUUGGACAAUGGGCGCAAGCCUGAUCCAGCCAUGCCGCGUGCAGGAUGAAGGCCUUCGGGUUGUAAACUGCUUUUGUACGGAACGAAAAGGUGCCUUCUAAUAAAGGGCGCUCAUGACGGUACCGUAAGAAUAAGCACCGGCUAACUACGUGCCAGCAGCCGCGGUAAUACGUAGGGUGCGAGCGUUAAUCGGAAUUACUGGGCGUAAAGCGUGCGCAGGCGGUUUUAUAAGACAGAGGUGAAAUCCCCGGGCUCAACCUGGGAACUGCCUUUGUGACUGCAAGGCUGGAGUGCGGCAGAGGGGGGUGGAAUUCCGCGUGUAGCAGUGAAAUGCGUAGAUAUGCGGAGGAACACCGAUGGCGAAGGCAAUCCCCUGGGCCUGCACUGACGCUCAUGCACGAAAGCGUGGGGAGCAAACA
Molecule: ribosomal RNA, 426 nt
Filed under: uncultured bacterium
Lineage: Bacteria
Description: bacterial SSU rRNA
Rfam family: Bacterial small subunit ribosomal RNA
Source: RNAcentral